RNAcentral lists this ribosomal RNA (468 nucleotides) under uncultured bacterium. RNAcentral's name for it is "partial 16S ribosomal RNA". It matches the Rfam family "Bacterial small subunit ribosomal RNA", at positions 28 to 507 of the family's 1533-position model. The record is from RNAcentral.
GACGAACGCUGGCGGCGUGCUUAACACAUGCAAGUCGAACGGAAAGGCCCUGAUUUUGUGGGGUGCUCGAGUGGCGAACGGGUGAGUAACACGUGAGUAACCUGCCCUUGACUUUGGGAUAACUUCAGGAAAGUGGGGCUAAUACAGGACAGGAGCCCCUGCUGCAUGGAGGGGGUUGGAAAGUUUCGGCGGUUGGGGAUGGACUCGCGGCUUAUCAGCUUGUUGGUGGGGUAGUGGCUGACCAAGGCUUUGACGGGUAGCCGGCCUGGGAGGGUGACCGGCCACAUUGGUACUGAGGUACGGACCAGUCUCCUACAGUGGGCAGAGGUGGGGAGUAUUGCACAAUGGGCGGAAGCCUGUUGCAGCAGCGCCGCGUGCGUGAUGACGGCCUGCUGGUUGUAAACCGCUUUCGCCUGUGACGAAGCGUUAGUGACGGUAAUGGGUGAAGAAGCACCGGCUAACUACGUG